AUUUAUUAAAGACAUGUCUAUUUUAAAAUUGUUCUCGUCAGAAUGUAGUAGAGUUAAAAUGGUUAUUCCAUCAAACUUCCAAUUAUUAGAAUAGUACACAACGCAGAACAGAACAACCAGGUUGAGGGUCAGUGGCCAAAGCCCGCGAACAGGAAUAUUCCAAGUUCAGACAGAGGGGGUAGUCAGAUCGCUAUGAUCGCAAGGAACUUUACUUUUGGUGUCUAUUUUUAAUUGUUACGCUACUGGUGCUGCCUGUUGAUGUUAGGUAGGCAGCUACAGGAGCUGAAUGAUGUCAACAUCUUCGGGUUUUAUUUCAUUAAAUGUAUUUUAUUUCAUCCGUGUGCUUGUCACCUACUAACACCCUGGUACUACCCGUAGCUCCCGCUCUCCUCGGUCCGAGAAAACACGGAGAGAGAAAAAUCAACAUAAAAGCCUAAAAGACAGCCGUGGUGUCGCUCUUCAUUUCUUGGUUCUCCUGUGGUACAUAAGAAACCCGCUACAAGAACAUGGAUAAAAGCAGGAAUCUCUCGUGCCAAGAUUCAUCAGCCGUUAUACAAAUAUGAUACAAAACACCAGCUGAGUGGCACCGGCUGCAUCAGUGA
Molecule: long non-coding RNA, 602 nt
Organism: Salvelinus fontinalis (brook trout)
Lineage: Eukaryota; Metazoa; Chordata; Actinopteri; Salmoniformes; Salmonidae
Exons: 3
Source: RefSeq, a predicted model, not a curated record